AUGUACUCCCUCCAUACCAUUAUGUGUCCAACUUUAAUCGUCGGUCUUUUAAAAAUAUCUUAUUUAAAAAAACUAUGGUUAUUAUUUUUGUUGUUAUUAGAUGAUAAAAUAUGAAAAAUACUUUAUGCGUGACUUAUAUUUUUAAUUAUUUUUUAAAAAAUUAAAUAAGAUGAACGAUUAAAUUUGGUCAUGGAAACUCAUGCCCGUGUUUAAA
RNAcentral lists this microRNA precursor (214 nucleotides) under Oryza sativa Indica Group (long-grained rice). RNAcentral's name for it is "MIR812 microRNA precursor family". It matches the Rfam family "MIR812 microRNA precursor family". Lineage: Eukaryota; Viridiplantae; Streptophyta; Magnoliopsida; Poales; Poaceae. The record is from Rfam by way of RNAcentral.